GACCAACGCUGGCGGCGUGCUUAACACAUGCAAGUCGAACGGAAAGGCCCUGCUUGCAGGGUACUCGAGUGGCGAACGGGUGAGUAACACGUGGGUGAUCUGCCCUGCACUUCGGGAUAAGCCUGGGAAACUGGGUCUAAUACCGGAUAGGAGCCAUUUUUAGUGUGAUGGUUGGAAAGUUUUUUCGGUGUAGGAUGAGCUCGCGGCCUAUCAGCUUGUUGGUGGGGUAAUGGCCUACCAAGGCGGCGACGGGUAGCCGGCCUGAGAGGGUGGACGGCCACAUUGGGACUGAGAGACGGCCCAGACUCCUACGGGAGGCAGCAGUGGGGAAUAUUGCACAAUGGGCGCAAGCCUGAUGCAGCGACGCCGCGUGGGGGAUGACGGCCUUCGGGUUGUAAACUCCUUUCGCUAGGGACGAAGCUUUUUGUGACGGUACCUAGAUAAGAAGCACCGGCUAACUACGUG
Molecule: ribosomal RNA, 465 nt
Filed under: uncultured bacterium
Lineage: Bacteria
Description: partial 16S ribosomal RNA
Rfam family: Bacterial small subunit ribosomal RNA
Source: RNAcentral